RNAcentral lists this ribosomal RNA (212 nucleotides) under uncultured Aeromonas sp. RNAcentral describes it as "partial 16S ribosomal RNA". It matches the Rfam family "Bacterial small subunit ribosomal RNA", at positions 1139 to 1350 of the family's 1533-position model. The record is from RNAcentral. Lineage: Bacteria; Pseudomonadati; Pseudomonadota; Gammaproteobacteria; Aeromonadales; Aeromonadaceae.
UCAAGGGAGACUGCCGGUGAUAAACCGGAGGAAGGUGGGGAUGACGUCAAGUCAUCAUGGCCCUUACGGCCAGGGCUACACACGUGCUACAAUGGCGCGUACAGAGGGCUGCAAGCUAGCGAUAGUGAGCGAAUCCCAAAAAGCGCGUCGUAGUCCGGAUCGGAGUCUGCAACUCGACUCCGUGAAGUCGGAAUCGCUAGUAAUCGCGAAUC